This 87-nucleotide non-coding RNA is filed under the name Halanaerobium kushneri. RNAcentral describes it as "c-di-GMP sequence". It matches the Rfam family "c-di-GMP-I riboswitch aptamer". From Rfam's summary of the family: GEMM was predicted in a large-scale screen for bacterial structured RNA regulatory elements. Genes associated with GEMM are involved in a diverse array of functions, including chemotaxis regulation, signal transduction, secretion and chitin. Lineage: Bacteria; Bacillati; Bacillota; Clostridia; Halanaerobiales; Halanaerobiaceae. The record is from RNAcentral.
CUAAAUAUUGGGCAAUAUUAUUGAAAAAUAAUGGCGCAAAGCUAUGGGUCUAAGGAAAUUGACAUCUAUGACUGCCAGGUUGCUUUU